GAUGAACGCUGGCGGCGUGCCUAAUACAUGCAAGUCGAGCGAACAGAUGAGGAGCUUGCUCCUCUGACGUUAGCGGCGGACGGGUGAGUAACACGUGGAUAACCUACCUAUAAGACUGGGAUAACUUCGGGAAACCGGAGCUAAUACCGGAUAAUAUAUUGAACCGCAUGGUUCAAUAGUGAAAGACGGUUUUGCUGUCACUUAUAGAUGGAUCCGCGCCGCAUUAGCUAGUUGGUAAGGUAACGGCUUACCAAGGCAACGAUGCGUAGCCGACCUGAGAGGGUGAUCAGUCACACUGGAACUGAGACACGGUCCAGACUCCUACGGGAGGCAGCAGUAGGGAAUCUUCGGCAAUGGGCGAAAGCCUGACGGAGCAACGCCGCGUGAGUGAUGAAGGUCUUCGGAUCGUAAAACUCUGUUAUUAGGGAAGAACAAAUGUGUAAGUAACUAUGCACGUCUUGACGGUACCUAAUCAGAAAGCCACGGCUAACUACGUG
Molecule: ribosomal RNA, 497 nt
Filed under: uncultured bacterium
Lineage: Bacteria
Description: partial 16S ribosomal RNA
Rfam family: Bacterial small subunit ribosomal RNA
Source: RNAcentral